This 88-nucleotide transfer RNA is filed under the name Methylobacterium goesingense. RNAcentral describes it as "tRNA-Pro". Lineage: Bacteria; Pseudomonadati; Pseudomonadota; Alphaproteobacteria; Hyphomicrobiales; Methylobacteriaceae. The record is from RNAcentral.
CCGCCACCGGCGUGGUGGCGACCGGCGGCGGAAGCCGGGCGGCGCGCUGGCGCAGUGAGCCGUUGGCGGGCGCGCCGUCGGCGGCGGC